GGAUUAGAUACCCUGGUAGUCCACGCCCUAAACGAUGAAAACUAUUCUUUGGAAUUUUCAGAGAAGAAGCUAACGCGAUAAGUUUUCCGCCUGGGGAGUACGACCGCAAGGUUAAAACUUAAAGGAAUUGACGGGGACCCGCACAAGCGGUGGAGUAUGUGGUUUAAUUCGAAGGUACGCGCAAAACCUUACCAGCUCUUGACAUGCUAGCAGCAGGUCCAUGAAAAUGGAUUUUCAUUUAGUUGGGCUAGCACAGGUGCUGCAUGGCCGUCGUCAGCUCGUGUUG
Molecule: ribosomal RNA, 286 nt
Filed under: uncultured bacterium
Lineage: Bacteria
Description: partial 16S ribosomal RNA
Rfam family: Bacterial small subunit ribosomal RNA
Source: RNAcentral